RNAcentral lists this ribosomal RNA (265 nucleotides) under uncultured Lactobacillus sp. RNAcentral describes it as "partial 16S ribosomal RNA". It matches the Rfam family "Bacterial small subunit ribosomal RNA", at positions 81 to 339 of the family's 1533-position model. The record is from RNAcentral. Lineage: Bacteria; Bacillati; Bacillota; Bacilli; Lactobacillales; Lactobacillaceae.
UUUGUUGGACGCUAGCGGCGGAUGGGUGAGUAACACGUGGGCAAUCUGCCCUAAAGACUGGGAUACCACUUGGAAACAGGUGCUAAUACCGGAUAACAACAUGAAUCGCAUGAUUCAAUUUUGAAAGGCGGCGUAAGCUGUCACUUUAGGAUGAGCCCGCGGCGCAUUAGCUAGUUGGUGGGGUAAAGGCCUACCAAGGCAAUGAUGCGUAGCCGAGUUGAGAGACUGAUCGGCCACAUUGGGACUGAGACACGGCCCAGACUCC